UCAUCAUGCCCCUUAUGACCUGGGCUACACACGUGCUACAAUGGUUGGUACAACGAGUUGCGAGUCGGUGACGGCGAGCUAAUCUCUUAAAGCCAAAUCUCAGUUCGGAUUGUAGGCUGCAACUCGCCUACAUGAAGUCGGAAUCGCUAGUAAUCGCGGAUCAGCACGCCGCGGUGAAUACGUUCCCGGGCCUU
RNAcentral lists this ribosomal RNA (194 nucleotides) under uncultured Streptococcus sp. RNAcentral's name for it is "partial 16S ribosomal RNA". It matches the Rfam family "Bacterial small subunit ribosomal RNA", at positions 1190 to 1382 of the family's 1533-position model. Lineage: Bacteria; Bacillati; Bacillota; Bacilli; Lactobacillales; Streptococcaceae. The record is from RNAcentral.